AGUGAACGCUGGCGGUAGGCCUAACACAUGCAAGUCGAACGGCAGCACGGAGGAGCUUGCUCCUUGGGUGGCGAGUGGCGGACGGGUGAGGAAUACAUCGGAAUCUACUCUGUCGUGGGGGAUAACGUAGGGAAACUUACGCUAAUACCGCAUACGACCUACGGGUGAAAGCAGGGGAUCUUCGGACCUUGCGCGAUUGAAUGAGCCGAUGGCGGAUUAGCUAGUUGGCGGGGUAAAGGCCCACCAAGGCGACGAUCCGUAGCUGGGCUGAGAGGAUGAUCAGCCACACUGGAACUGAGACACGGUCCAGACUCCUACGGGAGGCAGCAGUGGGGAAUAGUGGACAAUGGGCGCAAGCCUGAUCCAGCCAUACCGCGUGGGUGAAGAAGGCCUUCGGGUUGUAAAGCCCUUUUGUUGGGAAAGAAAUCCAUCUGGUUAAUACCCGGGUGGGAUGACGGUACCCAAAGAAUAAGCACCGGCUAACUUCGUGCCAGCCGCCGCCGUAA
Molecule: ribosomal RNA, 506 nt
Filed under: uncultured bacterium
Lineage: Bacteria
Description: partial 16S ribosomal RNA
Rfam family: Bacterial small subunit ribosomal RNA
Source: RNAcentral